Molecule: ribosomal RNA, 497 nt
Filed under: uncultured bacterium
Lineage: Bacteria
Description: partial 16S ribosomal RNA
Rfam family: Bacterial small subunit ribosomal RNA
Source: RNAcentral
GAUGUACGCUGGCGGCGUGCCUAAUACAUGCAAGUCGAGCGAACAGACGAGGAGCUUGCUCCUCUAACGUUAGCGGCGGACGGGUGAGUAACACGUGGAUAACCUACCUAUAAGACUGGGAUAACUUCGGGAAACCGGAGCUAAUACCGGAUAAUAUAUUGAACCGCAUGGUUCAAUAGUGAAAGACGGUUUUGCUGUCACUUAUAGAUGGAUCCGCGCCGCAUUAGCUAGUUGGUAAGGUAACAGCUUACCAAGGCAACGAUGCGUAGCCGACCUGAGAGGGUGAUCGGCCACACUGGAACUGAGACACGGUCCAGACUCCUACGGGAGGCAGCAGUAGGGAAUCUUCCGCAAUGGGCGAAAGCCUGACGGAGCAACGCCGCGUGAGUGAUGAAGGUCUUCGGAUCGUAAAACUCUGUUAUUAGGGAAGAACAAAUGUGUAAGUAACUAUGCACGUCUUGACGGUACCUAAUCAGAAAGCCACGGCUAACUACGUG